This 2081-nucleotide long non-coding RNA is filed under the name Taeniopygia guttata (zebra finch). RNAcentral's name for it is "lncRNA (ENSTGUG00000028219.1)". The record is from RNAcentral. Lineage: Eukaryota; Metazoa; Chordata; Aves; Passeriformes; Estrildidae.
GUGCCGGGCCUCGGGGACAUUCCCUGAGCCCGGAGGUGCCGGGCCUUGGGGACAUUUCACUUUCCCCUCAGCCCGGAGGUGCCGCGGCUCCGCAGGGACUCGGCCCUGCCCUCAGGGGAGCCCCGUCACCCCCGAGGCCGCCACCGCCACCAAGCUCCGAAAGAACCGGGAAUUCUGCCUAAACACGAACACGCGAGGGUCCCGGGGUCCCUCUGACACCGACACGACGCGGGGACAGCAGAGGAAGCUACAUUCAGUUUGCGGCUGGGGCGGCCUCGAGCCCGGACUCGGUGGCUCGAAGCGGAGCCCCGCCGGGACCGGGCUCGCCCCCGGCCCUGCCCCGGCCCCGCCGCCUCCCCACCGGCCUCGGGCGGCUCAGCCGCUGCUCGCCCCGAGCUCUGCGAAGCCUUUGCUGAGUCCUGCCCGGAGCCCCGCUCAGCCCCUGCCCAGCCCAGAGUCCCCCAGUGCGGCCAAAGCCCGGGACAGGAACGUGUACAUUCAACUGGCAUCUCAUUCAGGGCUCAGCUCCUGUUUCCCCCCCGGAUUUGCUGCCUCCAGCCCUCGAUGGAGCCACCGCGCCCGCAGCCCCUUCCCCAGCAGCGUUAAGGUCUCAGCAGUACCCAGCUCAUCCCACCUCUCCAGACGGGAAACUAAAAUCAUUCCCACCACACACGGCUCCUUCCCAGCCUAGCAAUAUGUACAGCCGCUUCCUCAAAAUAAACUCAAAAAAGAAAUCCGUAUUAGAACUGAAGCUGUCCUAGAAACACCACGGCAAACUAGUGUAUCUGGAUUUAGUUAUCAGCUAAACACAGGCACAACAAGUGUUAGAGAAGUGGCACAGAAGCACGGGCCGGGGGCUCGGCUGGGCCGGGCUUUGGGCAGGGACAGCCUGGGCACCGCACGCAGCCACCUCCGCCCGGUGCUCAGGAAAUCAUCGGGAAUCGGAGAAAAGCAGGGAGAAGGUGAUGCCACUGUCCCCUCGCAGCGGGGCAGGGCUCGUUUGCUUUUUGCAAUCUCAGAAGAUAAAGUGCAAUGUUGCCACUUGCCUUCCUCCUGCAGUCCCUGAACCGGGACCGGCUGCCUCCCUUUGCCCGGGGCCUCGCCUGGGCACCCCGGGAAACUCAUCCUGGGACAUCCCUGGGCAUCUCAUCCCGGGGCAUCCCAGGGAAUCGCAUCCCGGGGCACUCCAGGGAAUCGCAUCCCGGGACAUCCCAGGGAAUCGCAUCCUGGGACAUCCCAGAGAAUCUUAUCCUGGGACAUGCCAGAGAAUCUUAUCCCGGGACAUCCCAGGGAAUCUCAUCCCGGGACAUCCCAGGGAAUCUUAUCCCGGGAUAUCCCAGGGAAUCGUAUCCCGGGGCACCCUGGGCAUCUCAUCCUGGGGCACCCCAGAGAAUCUCAUCCUGGGACAUCCCAGGGAAUCUCAUCCCAGGACAUCCCAGGGAAUCUCAUCCCGGGGCACCCCGGGAAUCUCAUCCCGGGGCACUCCAGGGAAUCUCAUCCCGGGACAUCCCAGGGAAUCUUAUCCCGGAACAUCCCAGGGAAUUUCAUCCCGGGACAUCCCAGAGAAUCGCAUCCCGGGGCACCCCGGGAAUCUCAUCCCAGGACAUCCCAGAGAAUCUCAUCCCGGGACAUCCCAGGGAAUCUCAUCCCGGGACAUCCCAGGGAAUCUCAUCCCGGGACAUCCCAGAGAAUCUCAUCCCAGGACAUUCAUCCCGGGACAUCCCAGGGAAUCUCAUCCCAGGGCACCCCGGGAAUCUCAUCCCAGGACAUCCCAGAGAAUCUCAUCCCGGGACAUCCCAGGCCACCACAGGCCUGGGGUGCCCCAGGAAGAGCAGCAAGAGGAACUCGACAUCUCAGCCUCCACCUCCUCUUCGUUAGCCCACGGCUGUCUCCGGCUGCUGCCCGGCACACAAACCCUGCUCCCAGCGCCCCUGCCCGGCCUGGGAGCCUGGAGCUCGGCUCCAGCCCUGCCAAGGCCUGCCGAGGGGUUCACCCUGCUCCUCUCCUCUCCUUCUAAUUUUCCCUCAAUUCAAGUGUUGGAAAAAGAAUCGAGCAAAGCAAAGGCGAGGCUGCCAAGCUGA